This 437-nucleotide ribosomal RNA is filed under the name Salmonella enterica. RNAcentral's name for it is "bacterial SSU rRNA". The record is from RNAcentral. Lineage: Bacteria; Pseudomonadati; Pseudomonadota; Gammaproteobacteria; Enterobacterales; Enterobacteriaceae.
CUUCCGGAGCUAACGCGUUAAGUAGACCGCCUGGGGAGUACGGCCGCAAGGUUAAAACUCAAAUGAAUUGACGGGGGCCCGCACAAGCGGUGGAGCAUGUGGUUUAAUUCGAUGCAACGCGAAGAACCUUACCUGGUCUUGACAUCCACGGAAGUUUUCAGAGAUGAGAAUGUGCCUUCGGGAACYGUGAGACAGGUGCUGCAUGGCUGUCGUCAGCUCGUGUUGUGAAAUGUUGGGUUAAGUCCCGCAACGAGCGCAACCCUUAUCCUUUGUUGCCAGCGGUUAGGCCGGGAACUCAAAGGAGACUGCCAGUGAUAAACUGGAGGAAGGUGGGGAUGACGUCAAGUCAUCAUGGCCCUUACGACCAGGGCUACACACGUGCUACAAUGGCGCAUACAAAGAGAAGCGACCUCGCGAGAGCAAGCGGACCUCAUAAA